UAGACACUGAAGUCAUUAGCAGCAUUCUGUGACUAACACAAGCGCUGCACCUGAUGUUUCACUGAUCGAAGUGGACCCGGAUGGCGGCACGGACCUAUCUGGUGCAACAGCGGCGGCAUCAGAGGCUGACUCGGAGCCACCGAGUCGCAACGGGCAUCAGACCAGCAGCAAGAGGAACCGGGUGUCCCACGACACACGGCGGUGCUGGACCUGCUGAACUCGAUGGAGGAAACCGCGAUGGCUCAGAGGGAGCGCCAUCUAGAGUCCGUACUUGGGGAGUACAGGGCAGCAUGUGACCAGGAGGCGGCACUGCGCUGUGAGAAGUUGGAUUUGCAGAGACGGCAGCUGGACAACGAGCUAAUAUAAUAAGCAUAUAAUAGCAGAUAAUAAGCAUGUUACCUGUCCAUCAGAAACUUCCCCACCUCGUGAUCAGUCCUAAAUCCCUUUGUGCUUUGAAUGUCCGCCACCUCGUAAAGGAAUCUCCCAGUAAAACACGCGUUCUGCCUUCUUUUCUACGGCCUUUCUUCUAUCCUCUGCCAUCUCAAACAAUGUUCUUUCUUUGUGGCUAGCCAUCUUCGGACAUGCCGGGAGGAGCAAGCCGCUUCUGAAUGAGGUGCUUUGGUCACUCCCGCUGCAUGUCACUUCCUAAACAAUGCUCUGCGCAUGGCGGCUCGAAACCAGAGCAGCAGAGGCGGCGACUCGACAUAUGUCAUCACGCAAACGCGUUCCCACAUUGAUUGGCAUUAAGACUGCCGAAUCACGGAUUUGAACCAUACAAUUCUGAUUGGUUCUAAGGAUCCUACAGUAUACCUUAAACGUCUAUAUAUUCCUUUUGUAUUUCACAUAGUCUUUGCCAUCCAUCCAUCCAUCCAUUUUCUACCGCUUAUC
Molecule: long non-coding RNA, 888 nt
Organism: Salarias fasciatus (jewelled blenny)
Lineage: Eukaryota; Metazoa; Chordata; Actinopteri; Blenniiformes; Blenniidae
Exons: 3
Source: RefSeq, a predicted model, not a curated record